UGGCGGACGGGUGAGUAACGCGUAAAGAACUUGCCCUUUAGACUGGGAUAACAGAGGGAAACUUCUGAUAAUACUGGAUAAGUUAGUAUAUCGCAUGAUAUGCAAAAUGAAAGCUACGGCACUAAAGGAGAGCUUUGCGUCCUAUUAGCUAGUUGGUAAGGUAAGAGCUUACCAAGGCGAUGAUAGGUAGCCGGCCUGAGAGGGUGGACGGCCACAAGGGGACUGAGAUACGGCCCUUACUCCUACGGGAGGCAGCAGCU
Molecule: ribosomal RNA, 260 nt
Filed under: uncultured Leptotrichia sp.
Lineage: Bacteria; Fusobacteriati; Fusobacteriota; Fusobacteriia; Fusobacteriales; Leptotrichiaceae
Description: partial 16S ribosomal RNA
Rfam family: Bacterial small subunit ribosomal RNA
Source: RNAcentral